This is a small nuclear RNA of Jaculus jaculus (lesser Egyptian jerboa), 103 nucleotides long. NCBI's taxonomy places the organism in Eukaryota, Metazoa, Chordata, Mammalia, Rodentia, Dipodidae. The record is from RefSeq and is a predicted model, not a curated record.
GUGCUUUGGCAGCACACACACAAAAACUGGGACAGUACAGAGAAGGUUAGCAUGGCCCCUGUGCAAAGAGGACAUGCAAGUUCAUGAAGCAUUCCACAUUAAA